GUGGGUGUAGCUCAGUUGGUAGAGUCCCGGAUUGUGAUUCCGGUUGUCGUCGGUUCGAGUCCGACCUCCCACCCCA
This 76-nucleotide transfer RNA is filed under the name Mesosutterella porci. RNAcentral describes it as "tRNA-His". It matches the Rfam family "tRNA". From Rfam's summary of the family: Transfer RNA (tRNA) molecules are approximately 80 nucleotides in length. Their secondary structure includes four short double-helical elements and three loops (D, anti-codon, and T loops). Further hydrogen bonds mediate the characteristic L-shaped molecular structure. tRNAs have two regions of fundamental functional importance: the anti-codon, which is responsible for specific mRNA codon recognition, and the 3' end, to which the tRNAs corresponding amino acid is attached (by aminoacyl-tRNA synthetases). tRNAs cope with the degeneracy of the genetic code in two manners: having more than one tRNA (with a specific anti-codon) for a particular amino acid; and 'wobble' base-pairing, i.e. permitting non-standard base-pairing at the 3rd anti-codon position. The record is from RNAcentral. Lineage: Bacteria; Pseudomonadati; Pseudomonadota; Betaproteobacteria; Burkholderiales; Sutterellaceae. RNAcentral also lists the same sequence under 1 other name.